RNAcentral lists this ribosomal RNA (439 nucleotides) under uncultured bacterium. Its description in RNAcentral is "partial 16S ribosomal RNA". It matches the Rfam family "Bacterial small subunit ribosomal RNA", at positions 339 to 795 of the family's 1533-position model. The record is from RNAcentral.
CUACGGGUGGCUGCAGUGGGGAAUAUUGCACAAUGGGGGAAACCCUGAUGCAGCGACGCCGCGUGAGCGAUGAAGUAUUUCGGUAUGUAAAGCUCUAUCAGCAGGGAAGAUAAUGACGGUACCUGACUAAGAAGCUCCGGCUAAAUACGUGCCAGCAGCCGCGGUAAUACGUAUGGAGCAAGCGUUAUCCGGAUUUACUGGGUGUAAAGGGAGCGUAGGCGGUGCGGCAAGUCUGAUGUGAAAGGCCGGGGCUCAACCCCGGGACUGCAUUGGAAACUGCCGCACUAGAGUGUCGGAGGGGUAAGUGGAAUUCCUAGUGUAGCGGUGAAAUGCGUAGAUAUUAGGAGGAACACCAGUGGCGAAGGCGGCUUACUGGACGACAACUGACGCUGAGGCUCGAAAGCGUGGGGAGCAAACAGGAUUAGAUACCCCCGUAGUC